GACGGAGGGUGCAAGCGUUGUUCGGAUUGACUGGGCGUAAAGGGCGUGUAGGCGGUUGCCCAAGUCCGAUGUGAAAGCCCGAGGCUUAGCCUCGGAAGUGCAUCGGAAACUAGGCAGCUGGAGCGCGAUAGAGGAGGGUAGAAUUCCUGGUGUAGCGGUGAAAUGCGUAGAUAUCAGGAGGAAUACCGGCGGCGAAGGCGGCCCUCUGGAUCGUUGCUGACGCUGAGACGCGAAAGCGUGGGGAGCAAACAGG
RNAcentral lists this ribosomal RNA (253 nucleotides) under uncultured bacterium. RNAcentral describes it as "partial 16S ribosomal RNA". It matches the Rfam family "Bacterial small subunit ribosomal RNA", at positions 524 to 776 of the family's 1533-position model. The record is from RNAcentral.